ACACACGUAGGCUUUCCAGCCUAGCCAGUACCUGCAAUGACUGACUUUCUCCACGCAUAGUUGAGGGCACUGUGGGCCACACUGCAGGCUGCCCUCGGCCUGGAGAAUUGCUUCUCCCAGGUCACAGAAGGACACAGCAAGCCGGAAGAGGAGGUCAGGAGUAGCCGAGAGCUCCUGCUAUCACCCAUGACCGUUGGCAGGAAGAAGGAAAAGUUCUGACUGAGGGCUCCAUCAGCUCCAUCCAGGUCAGCAUUGCUGUGGAACAGACUGAUGAGGUGGAGAUUUUAUGCCACAAGUUCACGUGCUUCAUGACAAUGUGAGCAGAGAGUGGCCGCUGUUUCUCCUCGUCUGUCAGUGCAGUGCCUGACAGAGGUGGGCAGGAAAUAUCUUUCAUUUACCCUACCCUGUGGGUGCCCUGGAGCUACCAGAUCUCCGAGGACUCUGGAACCAUCUCAACUUUGAUCACAGGAAAACUUCGUGAGCUGGAAGAAGUUAGUGGGUCCACAGUCCCCACUCACCAGCAGCCCCUGAGCGGAUGGAAUUUUGGAAACUUGGUGAUCCUGCAUGAACCUGCAGGUGGAAGGUGCACUUGGUGGAAAGCCAUCCUUAGAACAACACAAGUGGAGACAGAGAAGACACAUCUAACAAAGGAAGAAGAAUGUGCUGGGAGACAUGUUUGGCCUUCAUAGGUCUUGGACAAAUAAAUCAUGGUUGACCUGAGAAUGGCCCAUGGAUCACAGCUAACCAUCCAUCAGGCAGCUGACCUCAUUCCUUGUGCGACGGACACCUGUGUCUCAUCCUCCCAGAAUUCAGUGCCCCUCCUGAGGGGGCCAGCAGCACAGCUUCCUGGGGGGAGUCACCCCCAGCUCUCAGUACCCAGGCUGUGAGAGUGAAGUCAGCCUCACUAUCUGCUUCCAGCAUUGUCUCCUGGCCAAUCCACACAUUGCACCCCUUGGCCCAGGGAUUGGUUCAAGAAAGAGGACACAACCCAGUCAGGCAAGGUCAGAUGCAUCCGGAGGAUCUUUGCCAUAGCUAUUGAGAGAGAAAGACCUCCAGAGGCCACUUCAUGGAGAGAGCCUGCCUAAGGAUGAAGCCAAACCCAGAGAGGACAGAGCUGGGGAGAGAAGACUCCUGACAGCAUGAUUUCCGUGCCUGGAUAAAGCUAUGCCUGAAGCUCCAUCUGUCCUUCAGUUACAUGAAUCUUCAGUUACAUGAGCCGUCUGGGACUGGAUCCCACCCAGCUGAACUGAGGUUCUGCAAGUUCGGAUUGAUAUAUGAUUCACUGUGGUCACAGUAAGUCUGUUGUAUCUCUCUGGAGGCUUUCCCAGCUGCCGCAAACCACAGUGGUAGUAGGGGGUGGGAAGUCAGCUCAAAGGAGCAAAGCCCUGUUUCCAAAUGCUGGACAGACGAGAGCGCAGGUGGGAUAGGGCCUAGUG
RNAcentral lists this long non-coding RNA (1436 nucleotides) under Bos indicus x Bos taurus (hybrid cattle). RNAcentral's name for it is "lncRNA (ENSBIXG00005015533.1)". The record is from RNAcentral. Lineage: Eukaryota; Metazoa; Chordata; Mammalia; Artiodactyla; Bovidae.